AGUGAACGCUGGCGGUAGGCCUAACACAUGCAAGUCGAACGGCAGCACAGUAAGAGCUUGCUCUUACGGGUGGCGAGUGGCGGACGGGUGAGGAAUACAUCGGAAUCUACUUUUUCGUGGGGGAUAACGUAGGGAAACUUACGCUAAUACCGCAUACGACCUACGGGUGAAAGCAGGGGAUCUUCGGACCUUGCGCGAUUGAAUGAGCCGAUGUCGGAUUAGCUAGUUGGCGGGGUAAAGGCCCACCCAGGCGACGAUCCGUAGCUGGUCUGAGAGGAGGAUCACCCACACUGAAACUGAGACACGGUCCAGACUCCUACGGGAGGCAGCAGUGGGGAAUAUUGGACAAUGGGCGCAAGCCUGAUCCAGCCAUGCCGCGUGGGUGAAGAAGGCCUUCGGGUUGUAAAGCCCUUUUGUUGGGAAAGAAAAGCAGCAGGUUAAUACCCCGCUGUUCUGACGGUACCCAAAGAAUAAGCACCGGCUAACUUCGU
This 491-nucleotide ribosomal RNA is filed under the name uncultured bacterium. Its description in RNAcentral is "partial 16S ribosomal RNA". It matches the Rfam family "Bacterial small subunit ribosomal RNA", at positions 29 to 506 of the family's 1533-position model. The record is from RNAcentral.